UCACAUCAAAAGGGAGUGAGCCUUCCUGGGGCCAACAUCUACAUUGUCCAGAUUUCAGCUGGAAGAGGGUAUCCAAAUUCAUUUAGUUUUAGUCCCCUUAAAACAGAACAAAAAGAAAACUGGUUCUGUGAAAAAUGCUGUCCACUCAGUAGCUUUUACUGUAUGCUAAUCUCUCUUCUUAUUUUCCCAAAUCAACCCCUGCUUGUGCAACCUGCUCUGAGAGUUUGCAAAGAACCAUCAGUCUUUAGGACCCUGAACCUAUUUCAGCUCUAGGCAUCUUGGCUGCUGCAGUUUUCAGCUUGCAAAGGCUCCCCUGCUACAACACAAUCACCAAGUCAAAGUGCAAAAUUCAAUUAUUAUUUUUUUUUUGGAGCAGUGUGAUUUAAAUCAAUGUUACUGACAUCAUUAAGCAGGAGAAUCACAUGUGUACGCUUGUGAUUCUUGUUGUUAUUCUUGUCUUGAGUAAAAUCCAUGCAUUUGGCCCAAUUUUUGUAGGUAUCCUUAAUUUUAGUAUUUAAGUCAGAGCAAAGAUUAUGAAAACCAAUGCAAUGUCAGGCUUGGUGAUAAUUAAGCUACCUGUAGUGCUCGCUUCGGCAGCACAUAUACUAAAAUUGGAACGAUACAGAUAAGAUAAGCUACCUGUAAUUCCAUCUACCUGGGAGGCUGAGGCAAGAAGAUAACAAGUUUGAGCUUCGUAUGGGCAAUUUAGUGAGACCCUGUCUCAAAAUGAAAUGUUUUAAA
This 741-nucleotide long non-coding RNA is filed under the name Marmota monax (woodchuck). The record is from RNAcentral. Lineage: Eukaryota; Metazoa; Chordata; Mammalia; Rodentia; Sciuridae.